This 444-nucleotide ribosomal RNA is filed under the name uncultured bacterium. RNAcentral describes it as "SSU rRNA". It matches the Rfam family "Bacterial small subunit ribosomal RNA", at positions 26 to 518 of the family's 1533-position model. The record is from RNAcentral.
AGAACGAACGCUGGCGGCAGGCUUAGCACAUGCAAGUCGAGCGCCCCGCAAGGGGAGCGGCAGACGGGUGAGUAACGCGUGGGAACAUACCCUCCGGUUCGGAAUAGCUCAGGGAAACUUGGAUUAAUACCGGAUACGGCCUAGCGGCGAAAGAUUGAUCGCCGGAGGAUUGGCCCGCGUCUGAUUAGCUAGUUGGUGGGGUAAUGGCCCACCAAGGCGACGAUCAGUAGCUGGUCUGAGAGGAUGAUCAGCCACAUUGGGACUGAGACACGGCCCAAACUCCUACGGGAGGCAGCAGUGGGGAAUAUUGGACAAUGGGCGCAAGCCUGAUCCAGCCAUGCCGCGUGAGUGAUGACGGCCUUAGGGUUGUAAAGCUCUUUCGCUAGGGACGAUAAUGACGGUACCUAGACAAGAACGCCCGGCUAACUUCGUGCCAGCAGCCGC